Pantherophis guttatus is the source of this 1760-nucleotide non-coding RNA. NCBI's taxonomy places the organism in Eukaryota, Metazoa, Chordata, Lepidosauria, Squamata, Colubridae. The record is from RefSeq and is a predicted model, not a curated record.
CAAGGAGUUGAGUUUUCAUCUCCUUCCAUAAACGGCAUGAGGAUAUUGCUGCACGCAACUCCAGGUCAACCAAGGCUUGUUUGGUCUCAUCCUAUUUCCAUAAUAAUCUCUGCAUUUCAGAAAGAAUAAGAAGAUGAUUGGCAGCACUGAGAUGGCUUAUGAAGCAAUAAUAGAAGAAAGAGUCUUCCCAGUGAUGGCAGAACAGGACCAUAGAAAGGGAUGUGAUGGAUUUUAAUACUAACCAAAGAAAAGAAGAAAAAUAUUAAACACCACGUAAGGAUCAGGUGAUCAUAUUAAGAGCUGUGGUGGCGCAGUACUGCAGGCUACUUCUGCUGACUGCCGGCUCCCUGCAAUUUGGAAGUUCCAACCUUACCAGGCUCAAGGUUGACUCAGUCUUCCAUCCUUCCGAGAAUCUGGCUGGCUGAUUACACUAAGAGAUAGUGUUUGAUGGAAGAUCAUCAGUCAUCAAAACAGAGACCCAAUGGAUUUGGGCAGAGUAUCCAGUUCUAGAUUUUAAUUUUACAAAGAUGUACUGGAGUUUAUUCUGAGGAUAAUCAUCAUGGCUGAAGGAUCUGAAAAGAAGGAAGAGCUUAGCCUGGAAAAAAGACAGCUGGAAGGAGGAGCGCUGUGAUAGUGUUCAAAUAUGUGUUAUUGGAUCAGGCAUGAAAAUUACAGCGAAGCAAAAUUCUCUUAAAAUUUAAAAUAGAAUUCUCAAUGUGAACUUUUAAAGAACAAAGCCAACUAUUUGAGACAAUCUCUCCUUUAUGGAAGAACACUUAAGCAAAGGAUGGGUAUCCUUCUCUCUGCACUCUCUAUGCAACAUCCCACUCAACAAUAGGACUCCGUUCAAGAUCCUUUCCUGCUUGCAUUUCAGGGGUUUCUGAAAUUCUUUGGAAAUGUAUGGGCAGCUCCUAAAUGAAAAGACUGACAAUAAUGAACCAGUAACUGGAAAAUGCCUUGUUGCUUGUCCUUUUUGAUUCCUUUGCAAUGUGCAAUAUAGGAAGUCCUUUUUUGUGUGUGACUUGCUGACCUAGGGGAACCAGAGGCUUGGACAAUGCAGAUUUGUAAGAAGUAUAUUAAUUCUAGAAUAUGCCUUUUGAAUUAUUUGCAACAUGCUGAACUGCUUGAUAUCCCAGUAUAAACAACUCGCUUCAAUCCUGUGUUGAUUCAUUUCACAAGAAGUGAAGCAAAACUUUCUAAAUUCCUGAUAACCUCUUUUCUUUGAUGAACCCAGGAUGAUAGCAAAAGCCUCCAUAGGGAAUGGUUGCUCAGUAAAUGUGAAAAAUUAUAGAGAUGGUGGGAAAAGAAUGGAAAAGGUAGCGAUAAGUCAGUUGUCAACUAAUUUCAUAAAUGGCAAAACCAUCCAGAUGGGGAGAAAUCUGGGAAAAGGAAUCUGGGAAUUUAAAUAUUUAUAGCAGAUAUUUCAACAGGAAAGAGAGGUUAAUUAUUUUGCGGCUCACUCUCUCUGGAAGCAGUCCUGAUGAAUUUGCACCCAACCAGACAAACACACCCAAUUUGGAGAAAGAAUAUGAAUUUGUGCAAUUUCCUUCCCUUUCUCAUCCAGGGAAUAGAAGCAAGGGGAUUUUUUACUCUUAGACUUAAAGCAGCUCGGAAUAGAUCAGUGACUGUUAACUUCUUGUUCUCAGAAUCACAAGAAAGAGACGAUUAUCAUGACUCAUUUUCAAAUAGCUUUUUCAAUAGAAAUGAUGGCAGUGUGGAAUCAUCUCUAUUAUGAUUACUCCCCGUGUGUUUAAUAAUUG